UCUGGGUGUGGUGGUGCACACCUGUAAUCCCAGCUACUUGGGAGGCUGAGGCAGGGCUAUCACAAGUUCAAGGCCAGCCUGGACAACUUAGCAAGAUCCUUGUCUCAA
RNAcentral lists this small RNA (108 nucleotides) under Marmota monax (woodchuck). Lineage: Eukaryota; Metazoa; Chordata; Mammalia; Rodentia; Sciuridae. The record is from RNAcentral.